CAAAUAGGUGGGCAACCAUAUAUGAGAACUCCAGCACAUGGAAGGGAAGAAAAGGAGGUCAUGUAAACAUCUGAAAGUUGCAUGGUGAGACAUUUCUUAGUAAACAUUGUCUUUCAAAACAACCUGGUAGAAAAGCUAAGAUACAAGGGCAAUUUCUAUUUUUUGUGAAGCUUACUUGUCCUCUCAAAUGCAUAGGUAGAAAAAUAGAUCAACCUCAACAUUUAAUAGAACUCAACAGAACAACCAACAACUAAAUAUCUGCUUAUCAUAUAAUUACAAACUGGAAACUGGGAACAAACACGGCAUGCAAAAAAAU
This 316-nucleotide ribosomal RNA is filed under the name Triticum aestivum (bread wheat). Its description in RNAcentral is "partial small subunit ribosomal RNA". Lineage: Eukaryota; Viridiplantae; Streptophyta; Magnoliopsida; Poales; Poaceae. The record is from RNAcentral.